AGCUCCAAUAGCGUAUAUUAUUGAUGUUGCAGUUGAAACGUUCGUAGUCGAACUUUGUGUGCAAGGACAUUCGUCGCUAUCGGCGUCGAACGUCUGUGCACAUAUGGCGCAAUCGGUUGUGCAUGCUUCAUGUACCAAUCGUUUUGCGUUUUACUUUGAGUGAAUCGGCGUGUUCCACGCAGGCAUGUGCCUUGAACGAUUUACCAUAGCAUAAAUACAGUAUGGAAUUGUCUGAUUGUUUGUUCAAGGACAUUUCCGAUACUGAUAAGAACGGUUGAGGGCAUUCGUAUUCAACUGCCAGAGGUGAAAUUCUUUGAUUAGUUGAGGACGAACUACGGCGAAAGCAUCUGCCAAGGACGUUUCUUUUGAUCAAGAACGAAAGUUAGCACG
This 390-nucleotide ribosomal RNA is filed under the name uncultured eukaryote. Its description in RNAcentral is "SSU rRNA". It matches the Rfam family "Eukaryotic small subunit ribosomal RNA", at positions 587 to 1000 of the family's 1831-position model. The record is from RNAcentral.